Molecule: ribosomal RNA, 552 nt
Filed under: uncultured Klebsiella sp.
Lineage: Bacteria; Pseudomonadati; Pseudomonadota; Gammaproteobacteria; Enterobacterales; Enterobacteriaceae
Description: bacterial SSU rRNA
Rfam family: Bacterial small subunit ribosomal RNA
Source: RNAcentral
GCAAGUCGAGCGGUAGCACAGAGAGCUUGCUCUCGGGUGACGAGCGGCGGACGGGUGAGUAAUGUCUGGGAAACUGCCUGAUGGAGGGGGAUAACUACUGGAAACGGUAGCUAAUACCGCAUAAUGUCGCAAGACCAAAGUGGGGGACCUUCGGGCCUCAUGCCAUCAGAUGUGCCCAGAUGGGAUUAGCUAGUAGGUGGGGUAACGGCUCACCUAGGCGACGAUCCCUAGCUGGUCUGAGAGGAUGACCAGCCACACUGGAACUGAGACACGGUCCAGACUCCUACGGGAGGCAGCAGUGGGGGAUAUUGCACAAUGGGCGCAAGCCUGAUGCAGCCAUGCCGCGUGUGUGAAGAAGGCCUUCGGGUUGUAAAGCACUUUCAGCGGGGAGGAAGGCGUUAAGGUUAAUAACCUUGGCGAUUGACGUUACCCGCAGAAGAAGCACCGGCUAACUCCGUGCCAGCAGCCGCGGUAAUACGGAGGGUGCAAGCGUUAAUCGGAAUUACUGGGCGUAAAGCGCACGCAGGCGGUCUGUCAGUCGGAUGUGAAAUC